GACCUGAUGCAGCCAUGCCGCGUGUGUGAAGAAGGCCUUCGGGUUGUAAAGCACUUUCAGUUGUGAGGAAAGGUUGGUAGUUAAUACCUGCCAGCUGUGACGUUAACAACAGAAGAAGCACCGGCUAACUCCGUGCCAGCAGCCGCGGUAAUACGGAGGGUGCGAGCGUUAAUCGGAAUUACUGGGCGUAAAGCGCACGCAGGCGGUUUGUUAAGCUAGAUGUGAAAGCCCCGGGCUCAACCUGGGAUGGUCAUUUAGAACUGGCAGACUAGAGUCUUGGAGAGGGGAGUGGAAUUCCAGGUGUAGCGGUGAAAUGCGUAGAUAUCUGGAGGAACAUCAGUGGCGAAGGCGGCUCCCUGGCCAAAGACUGACGCUCAUGUGCGAAAGUGUGGGUAGCGAACAGGAUUAGAUACCCUGGUAGUCCACACCGUAAACGCUGUCUACUAGCUGUGUGUGAAUUUAAUUCGUGAGUAGCGAAGCUAACGCGCUAAGUAGACCGCCUGGGGAGUACGGCCGCAAGGUUAAAACUCAA
This 532-nucleotide ribosomal RNA is filed under the name Alteromonadaceae bacterium. Its description in RNAcentral is "bacterial SSU rRNA". It matches the Rfam family "Bacterial small subunit ribosomal RNA", at positions 380 to 904 of the family's 1533-position model. The record is from RNAcentral. Lineage: Bacteria; Pseudomonadati; Pseudomonadota; Gammaproteobacteria; Alteromonadales; Alteromonadaceae.